CCUAUCAUAUAUAUAUAUAUACAUGCAAAUGAUUAAUUAAUGAUAAAUGAGCAAUAUUAUCCAGUACCGAUAGGAAAUUAUUGUAUAUGCAAUGAAAUUAUAUAUAAUAGUUACCUGUAAGACGGUUAUAGGACAGGUCAAGCACUUUGAGUCUUGAAAGAGCACCAAUUUCUGAUGGUAUCCUUCCGGAGAGAAAACGAGUGCCCCAAAUUCUGAAAGUUACGAGGUUGGGAAAGCAAGUGAAGUUGAGUUGGCUAAGCUCUGCUGCGUUGCCAUUAUUAUCCAUCUCGUCAGAACUUAUCUCAACUAUGCUUCCUGCUGAAUUGCAAGUGAUUCCCAUCCACUUGCAAUGAUCUGAAGUAUAGUUGGCCGUCGCCCGACUGCUAUUCCACCAGCCUGAAUUAAGUAAAGCUUCCCUUUCUAACUGUAAGGCUGACGAUGCAUCAGAUGCUGUUAGAACUGCAUUAUCAGUUAUAACAGGAACAAUAAUACUGCUUAUAAAAGUUAUAAUGACCACCAAUUUUGAAAUGGAGAAAUCCGGUGCCAUUUUUGUAAGUUUUUGGUUGAUUAGAUUCAGCGGGUGCAUGCCUGCUUUUAUAACUAAACAUUAAGUUUGACAGCAACACUCAAUCAUUUUUAGCCCGCGUUGAGCUUUCUCCCUCAUCGUCAAAAUUGGCAUGCGCGUUAUCAAACACAAGAGUCAGUUGAGUUAAUGUCUUUUUAGGCCACUAAUUCCUAUUUUUAAUUAAUUUCGCAAAGUAAAGGCUACAUGUGAUUCAUAUUCUAGCAACUUUCUAUUUCUUUCUUUACUUUUUAGUCCACUUUCCAUUCUCCCAAUUACUUUUCUAGAAUGGAGGAUUAUAUAUAUUCUAGUAACUUUCUUUUUCUUUCUUUUCCUUUUGGUACAUACUUUAUGCCCGAAUUUAGACCCCGACCGAAUUCCACCAAAUUGUUUUUGUUCUUUUCUUUUUUGUAAUUUUUUUUUUCGCCUUUAUAUGGGUUCAUUUGGGAUUUAUGUUCGGGGCGUAUAGGCAUAGCAUUGCUCUUUACUUUGUGUCCACUUUCCUUCAUCAUCAAAAUAUUCGAUAAUGUCGGGAAAUAUUAAAAUUUGUUCUUAAUUAACAAAGAAUUAAGCCGACUACCAUAUUUCGCCAAAAGUCAAAGGAAAAAUUUCCAUUCUCCGGUACAACAUAUUCUAUAAUUUAUAGUAAUUGUCUAUUUGGUAAUGCGAACGGUUAUUUACACUAAGCAAUAUUUUGAAUAUUUUGAGACCCAAGUCAUACUCAAUGCUAAAAAUAAAAUAAAUAUUUUUUCUUCGUACAGAAAAAAAUAUAAAUUACCAACAUGUGAUAGGAGUUCAUCGAUACUUAUAUCAUUAUCAUCAUCCAAACCUAUAUUUGCAUCGUCAAUUUGUCGAUCUAGAAAUGAGACUAGUACCUAUGUGCUUAAUAAAAAAAAUUAUUAAAAAAAUAUUACCUUUCAAGUAAUACAUUAUUUUGUUGUGUAUUAUAUACUAAAUCAAUGAUGUAUUCUAAAUAGAUGUUCACCCUCAAGUGGUAUCAGAUAUCUACAUCUAAAAUGAUGUGUCUUAAAAUUUAAUGAGAAAAAUAUACAUAUAUUCUAAGGUUUGGGGAAAUAACAUGCAUGAACCUUACCAUAUAAUAUAACUUUAUGAUCGCAUUUUGGUGGAUAUUAUGUAAUUCAUUAACUUUGUUGUCUAUUAUAUACUAUAUUAAUGAUGAAUUCUAACUAGAUGAAAUUCACUCCCAAGUAGUGUCUGAUAUGGCCAUAUCCAUGUGUCCUAUAACUUUACUGAAACAAAUUUUGGGGAAUUUAAGAAUCUUUUUCUUUUUAUAUUUAGGAAAAUUAAUAAUUCGAAGUAGCUGCCAUUUUAGUUGUGUUUAAAAUUGAUUGUCUUAAAAAUUUGGAAAAUAUAUGGGAAAAUUUUCAAAAUGAUAAAAGGGAUAAUGUAGACUGACACGUUUAAACAUGUGAACUCAUUAGUCGCCAAUUAUUUGAAACGCACGGCCAGGGGAUGCCGGGUGAUUAAACACGUGAGUAGAAAACUUUUCAGGUCACUGGCUUUUUCUGAGCCGACCACAAAUUAAAGCAAAAUUGGAGUCAAGGUCUUGCAGACAAGGAAAAGAAGACGUGUGUGUACUGCGAGUUCACAUUUGAGGGUUGACUGACAAAUUUGUCCCUUGUCAAGCUCGUCAAAGAAGCACCUAUAAAUUUCACUUGAGAAUAUAUAUAUUUUAUAUUUAUCCAAAGUGAAGGAUUUAAUUAAACAAAAUUCAGUCUCACGAAUGUUAAUAUACCGAAAAAAGUUAUACAAAAACCACUAUCAAAAUUUUGGAUAAUCUUGAGAAAUUUUAAAAUUUGUUCUUAAUUAACAAAGAAUUACGCCCAAUACCAUAUUUCGCCAAAUCUCAAAGGAAAAUUUUCCACUUUUCCGGUACAAUAUUUUCUAUAAUUUACGGUAAUUAUUAAUUGGUAAUGCCAAUGGUUUUUUACACUAAACAAUAUUUUCAGACCCAAGUCAUACACAAUGCUAAAACCAAAGUAAAUAUUUUUUUUUCAUUUGUACAGAAAAAAUAUAAAUUACCAAGUUCAUCAAUACUUAUUUCAUUUAUCAUCAUCCGAAUCUAUAUUUGCAUCAUCAAUUGUCGAUCUACAAAAGAGAAAUCAAAGAUGUUAAAAAUAUUUCUAAUAAUAAGAUAAAAAUUAAAUAUAAAGACUAGUACCUAGGUGUUUGAAUUAAAAAUAAUAAUCAUUAAAAAAUAUUACCUUUCAAGUAGUACAUAAUUUUAUUGUGUAUUAUAUACUACGUUAAUGAUGUAUUCCAAAUAGAUGAAACUCAUUCCCAAGUUGUGUCCAAUAUGGUGAUAUCCUUGUGUCUUACAAUUCCCAUAGGAUGCUAGAGCCAUAUGGAAGCAUAUAGAAGAUUGAUUGGUCGUGAUUAUUAACACUUUUGAAGGUUUAUUCUAUAUACAUGAUCAGCUGAACUUGUUCUCUUUAAUUUUCAUAAAUGCAUUGACACAGUUUUUACUUUUUGAUCAUUGGAUAUCCCUGACUUUAAGUUCAUCGAAUUCUAAACUAGGGAAUGCUGUUUGACUUACAACCAUAAUAGUUAGGAAGGUUAUAACUAGAUGGUCACAAUGGUUUUCAAUCACCGAUUGCUUUCUUACGGAACAGAAAAGAAAGGAAAGAUCAUAACUUCUCCCUCACCACCUUGUGUUAAUUGUCACUACUUAUUGUGGUUUAUUUUAUUUUUCAAAUCACAUUUGGUGACGGUUUCCAAUUCCACCAGCCGCAGAAAUCAAGUUGUAAUUCUAUUGUUUACAGAAUUUCAUUUCUGUUUACCAUUCAUCCUUGUAAUAUCAUAACAAGCAAUGUCAUACUUUUUACUUUUCAUAUUCUCAAAGUUCUUCAAAUCUUUUUAUUUCAAAUUGAAUGAAACAUUAAUUCUCAUUGGAUAAUCAACAUAUACUUGUCUUAGAGUCCUCAGGUGGACAACUUUUGGGGUUUUGGGUCCUCAUUUGUUGUACUAGUUGGUUCUUGAGGUAAAUAAAUCCAGGAUUCCUGAUAUUGAACAUUCAAUUUUCAUGUCUGAAACUUCCAAUAUCCAAAUUCACUCAUGCAAUACAACUACUCUAUUUUAAAUCAACUAGAUGGUUUCAGAUACAGAUUUUGUAUUUCCAACAUAAAAAAUCAUGCAAGCUUUUGAUACCCAAAAGACCAUGAUUGGAUUUUUUCUUCUCCCCUCCUCUCCCCUGUAUUGUCAAGUCAUCCAUAAAUUUUCUGCAAUGUCAGACUGUGCAAAAGGUAAUUUUAUCAGUGUAAGUGCUUGCAUUGUUCAUUUCUUCAGACAGCCAUUUACUGUGUCCAACAAUUCAUGCUGUGUUCACUAAUUAAAGCAACUACGGGUCAAGGUCAUUUUAAGUCGGGAAAAUGACUAGGGUGGUGUGAAUUCACACAUGAAACUUAAUUGGCAUAUUUGUCACUCGGCAAGCUCAAUGGACCCCUUUCAAAUUCACUUUAGAAUCUUUAUUUAUUCUUUAACCAAAGAUAAGGAUUUAAAUACAAAAAAUUCAGCCUCACGAAAGUUAUACAAAAAGCUAUUAAUGAAAUACAUUCAAGAUUAACAAUCACAUUGAUCAAUCAAAUACAUGCAUUGUUUCAUAAGUUCUGAUAUGGAAAUUUCUUCAACAACAGGUUUUCCCAAUGGUGAUUUCCCUGUGAGAAAUUCUUGAGAUACGCGUUGCAUGGUAGGUCGAGACUUGGGUUUUGACUGCAAGCAUGCAAAUGCAACUAUUGAAACAAGAAUAAUAACCUGAACAACCUUUUGAUCAAGUGGAGAUGGCAGACGUUGGUCUAAAAUAUCUAUCAACCUAAUCUUUCGUUCAGAUGAUGACGAUAAAGAUGAAAGAAGAUCUCCUGGAUGACUUCCCAUUAAUACUUCUAGUGCCACCACUCCAAAGCUAUAAACAUCACAUUUCUCUGUCACAGCCAUGGUGUAUGCAAGUUCUACAACAAAAUAGAACCCAUUGUAGAAUUUCUUUGCACAAGCAAAAAACAAAAUAUAUAUAUAUUUGAUUCACUGUUUCUGGAAGCUUCUGCAGCAAGAUAUUUAAGAGAUAUCUAAUUGAUUUUUAAAUACAUUCAAUGUGUAAACAUGAGUAAGAAGCAUGAAAAGAAUAGCUAAAGUUUACCUGGAGCAAUAUAUCCAUAUGUCCCCACCACUAGAGUUCUGUUGGAGGAAUCUGGAUGCAGGAGCCUAGCCAAACCAAAAUCAGCAACAAAUGCCUCUAGGUUUGAGUUAAGUAGAAUGUUAUUGCUGGAUAUGUCGCGGUGAACAAUUGAUGGCUUGCAGUCAUAAUGCAGGUAAGACAAAGCAUGAGCCAUACUCUUUACAAUGUUCACUCUCUUUGUCCAAUCCAGCUCAACAGCUUCAACGUCAUUGCGUAACACACAGAACAAGCUUCCCCGCUCCAUGUACUCAUAGAUCAAAAACAUGCACUUGUUGUGCAAACAAAAACCAUAAAGCUUCACUAUAUUACGAUGCCGUAUUUGGGAGAGUAGACGAGCUUCAGUUUGGAAACUUUCCAGGAAAGCUGGCUCCUCUGUCUCCGAACGGUGAAGUUUCUUCAAAGCGACUACUCUUCCACUGGACAAUUGUGCUCUGUAAACACUGCCAUAACCUCCGGUUCCAAUGCAAUAUUUGAUGUGGAAAUCCUCUGUCGCUUGAAUCAUCUCUUCAAAUGUAAUUCUACCAUCAUAAUUCCAUAUGGAGAACUCAUUAGCCCCCUCGGUCAUUUCUCGGGUAUUAGGAUUAAAUUUCUUAUCCUUUCGUCUAUGGACAAACAAGAUACCAAAAAUUAAGAUUGCGAAAAUAAAUGCCACCAUAGCGAGAAUGAUUGUGACCAAGCGAGUGACGAUCUUUUGCUGCUUCCCUUUGUUGCCCUUAAACUGUUUUGCUUGGGGUGGCGGUGCAUUUUCUGAACCAGUUGAGUUUUCUAACUCUAGAUUAUUUUCUGACACUAUCAAUUUGGGAAUUCUUCUGACAGAUGCAGGGAUAACGCCGGAGAGGUUAUUCUUGGAAAGAUCCACGGCAGAAAUGUUUGGAAUUUUUCCGAGUUGUGAAGGUAUCGUGCCAUUUAUGAAGUUACGGCUUAAAUCAAGUUGUCUCAAAAAUAUAAGGUUGCCUAUCUCCGAUGGAAUGCUUCCGCUUAAACUGUUGUGGCUUAAUACCAAGUUCAGUAACUGCGAGCAAUUCAUGAGUUCUGGAGGAAUGGAGCUGCUGAGCUGAUUAUAACCAAGAUUUAAAGAGGUGAGGUUGGUUAAAUAACCAAUUGUUGGAGGAAUGGGUCCAAUUAGAUUGUUCCCGUCAAGGGACAGAGAAUCAAGAUACUUCAGAUUUCCAACUUCCCGAGGCAGCAGACCACUAAGUUGGUUUGAAGAAAGAUCCAGAGAUGUUAAUUUGGUUAAAUUUCCUAUGGUCGGUAGAAUUGGACCAUUAAGUCUGUUGUGAGACAAGUCCAACUCAUCCAACAAGUUUAAAUAACCAAUGGUCGAAGGAAUAGAUCCAGUGAGAUUGUUCCUAUUCAGAAGCAAACGAUCAAGAUUCUUCAGAUUUCCAACUUCUUUAGACAGUGGACCAACAAGAUUGUUGUAAGCCAAGUACAAAAUGCUUAACUGAUUUAAAUGAUAAAGUGUUGAAGGAAUAGGCCCAGUUAGAUGGUUAUUAUCCAGAAACAGAGCGUCAAGAUUCUUCAGAUUUCCAACUUCUUGAGGCAGCCGACCACUAAGUUGGUUUAAAGAAAGGUCCAAAUGUGUCAAGUUAGUUAAAUUACCUAUGCUCGAUGGAAUUAGACCAUCCAGUUUGUUACCCUGCAACCUCAGUUCAUCAAGAUCCUUCAAAUUCCCAAAUUCUAAUGGGAUAGAACCAUUGAGAAUGUUAUUAGACAGAUCCAGUUUGAGAAGAUUCCUCAAACUCCCAAUCUCCGCGGGGAUAGUACCUAUCGUGUGUAUAUAUAUGCAUAUGAUUAAUUAACGAUAAAUAAGCAAUAAUAUCCGGUACAGAUAGGAAAUUAUUGUAUAUGCAAUGAAAUUAUAUAUAAUGGUUACCUGUAAGACUGUUAUCGGACAGGAAAAGCUCCUCGAGUUUUGAAAGAGCACCAAUUUCUGAUGGCAUCCUUCCUGAAGAAAAAAAGGAAAACAAAAAUAAUGUGUAUGAUUAAUUAAUGAUAAAUGAGCAAUAUUAUCCAGCACCGAUAGGAAAUUAUUGUAUAUGCAAUGAAAUUAUAUAUAAUGGUUACCUGUAAGACUGUUAUAGGACAAGUGAAGCUCCUCGAGUUUUGAAAGAGCACCAAUUUCUGAUGGCAUCCUUCCUAACGAAAAAAAGGAAAAAAAAUAAUGUGUAUGAUUAAUUAAGGAUAAAUGAGCAAUAUUAUCCAGUACGGCUAGGAAAAUAAUGUGUAUGCAUUGAAAUUAUAUAUAAUAGUUACCUGUAAGACGGUUAGAGGACAGGUCAAGCACUUUGAGUCUUGAAAGAGCACCAAUUUCUGAUGGUAUCCUUCCGGAAAGAAGAGUGCCCCGAAUGCUGAAAGUUACGAGGUUGGGAAAGCAAGUGAAGUUGAGUUGGCUAAGCUCUGCUCCGGUGAAAUUAUUAUCCAUCUCGUCAGAACUUAUCCAGACUACGCUUCCUGCUGAAUUGCAAGUGAUUCCUAUCCACUUGCAAUGAUCUGAAGUAUAGUUGGCCGUCGCCCGACUGCUAUUCCACCAGCCUGAAUUAAGUAAAGCUUCCCUUUCUAACUGUAUGGCUGACGAUGCAGCAGAUGCUGUUACAACUGCAUUAUCAGUUAUAACAGGAACAAUAAUACUGCUUAUAAAAGUUAUAAUGACCACCAAUUUUGAAAUGGAGGAAUCCGGUGCCAUUUUUA
Molecule: long non-coding RNA, 7442 nt
Filed under: Citrus maxima (pomelo)
Lineage: Eukaryota; Viridiplantae; Streptophyta; Magnoliopsida; Sapindales; Rutaceae
Description: long non-coding RNA (CMAX_LNC000519)
Source: RNAcentral